UGACGGUUUUGUUGAUUACUCAGUUUAAAUUAGUUUUUGGGAUGAUUUCUGUUGUGUUCAAGUGGAAACGAGAUCUAAAAGUGUUCAGAAUGCUAAAACUCAUGAUUAAUAUUCGCUUGAAACUUGAAAAAACUCAAAUAAAUCGGUGAAUCCCACUCGAAAACCUUUAAGUAUCUGGAUUUUCGGUUUCUGAGAAAUAUGGAUCUAGUGAAGGGACAGAUUACCUUUACCUGGCCACCCGAAGAAAUUAAAAGGGUUGAAACUGUCUGAAAAGACCUCUUUCGAUUUUAACUGUCCUCUGAGUUUUUGUGUUUCUCAAAUCAUUGUUGUCCCCAUCAACAUCAGUAUUGUUUGCAGUCACGCAAAAUUGGUAAAACUUAGAAUCUUGUUACAACGAUGGUUGUAACAAGUUGCUAAAGGAUGCUCUAAUGAGCAGAACAAAAAUGAGACAAAGAGUUUCCACAGGUUUCCUUUUAAACGCCCAGAUAUUUUGGAACUUUGGAUUACUGCUGUAGGAAGGGAAAAUUGGUAUCCCUCAAAGUAUAGUAGAAUAUGUGAAGAUUACCUUCAUAAUCCAAGUUAUACAAGAAAUAUAUUGAAACUUGAUGCUGUACCAAGUGUAUUCAAUAAUAUCCCAAGACAUUCAAGGAUCAUGGAAUACUUACAGUUCCAUCACUCUUCAUAUAAAACUCACUGUGUUAUGUGCAUCAGAAGUGGAAGAACUUUCCGACCAAUUCGAUAAAUCAUGCAUAUGAAACAAGAAAUAAAGACUCCUUGCAGAUUCCAGUGCACCAUCUGAAGCGCAUAGACCAGGGCAUGGACUUCUGGGGCCCCAAACUAUAUAAUAAACUUCCUUCUGAGUUUCAUGACAAGUCCUUGAUGAACUUUAAGAGAGAAGUGAAAAGGUUGCUUUUAAAUGAAACUAUAUAUUCUAUAGAAGAGUUCUUAUGGAGAAAGAAUAUGUGAUGAGGAUUGUUUUUUAUUUUUAUUGUGUUUGUAUGCAUGUUGUUACCACUGUGAUAUUUUAUAUUUGUUUAUUUCUGUCGACACCAUUUGUAAUAUUAAUUGCAAAUGAAGAUCCAUCUAAUCUAAUCUAAUCCGAUGAGAAGCAGAGCGCAUGUAAGUUUUCGAGUGAAUUUAAAUUAUUUGAAAUCAAUAAUUUUCUUUUUCAUUGUAGACUAUUACUGAAGAUAUAUGUAAACUAUUAUAUAUAUA
Long non-coding RNA from Coccinella septempunctata (seven-spotted ladybird), 1215 nucleotides. RefSeq lists it as uncharacterized. The transcript has 3 exons. The record is from RefSeq and is a predicted model, not a curated record. Lineage: Eukaryota; Metazoa; Arthropoda; Insecta; Coleoptera; Coccinellidae.